UGCUGUGCUUCUUUAGGUAAAAUGCUUUUUGUUCACUUCUGGUAGGGGGCGGUGGGGAGGGCACUGAAGCCUUUAGUCUUUUCCAGAUGCAACCUUAAAAUCAGUGACAAGAAAUAAAUUCCAAACAAGCAACAGUCUUCAAGAAAUGUAACUGGCAAGUGGAAAUGUUUAUCAGUUCAGUGGUCUUAGUGCAUUGUCUUUGUGUGGGUUUCUCUCUCCCCUCCCUUGGUCUUAAUUCUUAUACGCAGGAACAUUCAAAACAGCAGACGUAUGCGAAGGGCCAGAGAAGCCAGACCAGUAAGGAAAAAAAAAUAGCUUAUUUACUUUAAAUAAACAUUCCAUUUAAAAUGUGGGGAUUGGGAACCACUAGUUCUUUCAGAUGGUAUUCUUCAGACAUGUAGAAGGAGCUUCCAGUUGAAUUCACCAGUGGACAAAAUGAGGACAACAGGUGAACAAGCUUUUUUCUAUAUUUACGUAACAAGUCGGAUCCAUGAUGAGUAAAUAAUUUAGUGUUAAAUAGUUUCAGCUUUAUGCUGGAAUGAAUAGCAUGUGAGCAAGCUGUUUGUUGGCCUGGGGGUGGAGGGGUGAGGUGGGCGCUAAGCCUUUUUUUAAGAUUUUUCAGGUAUCCUUCCCUAAAGGCACCGAAGGCUUAAAGUAGGACAACCAUGGAGCCUUCCUGUGGCAAGAGAGACAACAAUGCGCUCUUAUACUAAGGUCAAUAAAAACGGUGUCGGCCUCAUAACCCCAUCUUCUGUUAGAAACGAGGACUCGCCUCCACGCCCUUGGCAGACAUGCACUGAGGCUCUUUUUGGAGAAUGGAGCAUCUAAAGGAAUGCUUUGAGUACCUUGUAUACUCUUGGGCCUGUCUGACCUUUGAUUGUGCUGCUUUUACAGCAGCUCUUUAAAAAGCCCAAACGUCCAGUGACGGUUGAAGGGGAGGGAAAGGGGAAAGCGGGCAACCACUUUUCCCUAGCUUUUCCAGAAGCCUGUUAAAAAGCAAGGUCUCCCCACAAGUGACUUCUCUGCCACAUCGCCACUCCCUGCCUUUGGCCUAGCGCAGACCCUUCACCCCUCACCUCGAUGCCGCCAGUAGCUUGGAUCCUUCAGGCCAUGAUCCGUAAUCGGUUUCAAGGUAACAGUGGUGCUGAGCUGUUCCUUCCGGUGGGUUGCACUACUAGAAGAGGCCAUUAAUUUGCCUGCAAAUAGUUAACGUUAUUAAAACCACAACUAAAAGCUCAAAGAUAAUUUUAAAUCUAUAACCCCAUUAUCCAGUGAUUAAAACACUUAAACCAGUGAAUGGAGAAUAAUGUUUUAAGACUGUCAUGUUGGGUGGGAGAAUCUACCUUGUAAACUGAAGAAGCAUCGGCGUUUUAGUCUCGAGGACUGUUGGGUGGGAUUGCAAAAAUUCUCUGCUAAGACUUUUUCAGGUGAACAUAACAGACUUGGCCAAGCUAGCAUCUUAGCUGAAGCAGAUUCUCCAGUGUUCUUCAGUAGGGUUGUAAAGGUUUUUCUUUUCCUGAGAAAACAAGUUUUGUUUUCUCAGGUUUUGCUUUUUGGCCUUUUCCUAGCUUAAAAAAAAAAAAGCAAAAGAUGCUGGUGGUUGGCACUCCUGGUUUCCAGGACAGGGUUCAAAUCCCUGCGGCGUCUUUGCUUGACUCUGACCUCUGUCUUCAGAACUCUUUCCGUUUUCCUUCUCUCUAGUUCUAGGCUUUUGGGGUUGGGGAAGGUGGGAGAGACUUUGUUAAAUUCGUCAGAAACCAAAAUCAGUUCGUGUUUAUGUGGGAUCCUUGUGAUAACUUGUCUCUGAUUUUCAGGUAGUCCCCGUGCAUCUAGUACAUGAAGAAACCUCACUAUUGAAAGCUGAAAAUUUCUUACUAAUAAAAAUAAAAAGGAAAACUUUUAAUAUGUGUGAUUCUUCUGUCUAUGAACCAAACUUCUGUGCGUGAGCAGCUGAGAGAAGAUGGGGCGUUUUGUGGGGGUUUGUCCACCUUGUUACUGGCUCGUGUGAAAGAUAAGCAUAAUCUUCGAGUAGGGUAGUGACUUGGGGGAAGUGGUAGAGAGUCCACCACCUAAAAGGACCCAGUAACGUCCCCACAGAAGCAGCAGCAGCUUCGUCCUGCAGCAGUUGGGGAGCUGGGCCAGUUGGGGAGCUGGGCCCGGGCCCGGGUGUAGAGAAACAGCUGGGAGUGAGGAAGGAGAGCUCUCAGUUGCUUCAGUGAAAUAACACUUGCAGGCCUAGGGGCGCUUUGUGCGUUUAAUAAGAAGUAGCUCUGUGGCCAUCUGUUACUCCUGAUAACACCCUUAAUCAGUUGUUGGUGCCCCAGACAAGUUGGUCACGGAGUCCCCUUGUUUUGUGGAACGGCCUGGAUAGGUGGUCUUCAGGUCUUCCCUUUUCAGUUAAAGUGAAAAUGCUGAAAUACCACCUUCCCCAGCCCCCCAAUGAAAUACCCUCAUGGUGUUAACCUGGCUGCUAAGUCCCUUCCACUCCCAACUGACCUAUUGCCUGAAGGGGUGGGAGAGGCUCAUUCCACCCAGCCAAGCCUAGGAGAGUGGGGGACCCUGGUCUACAGAAGAUGCUACACCCAGCCGAGGCCUCCCAUCCUGGUUCACCUGAUGGCCACAGAUCAGUCCAGUGGAGGGGCCUCAGUGAACUGAAUUUUUUUUUUUGCUACGUUACAACUCUGGAAGAUGUUACUCGUGUUAAAAAUGGAAAAGCAGGCUUUGGGUCGCUUUGCCAACCAAUGUGGCAGGGCUGGGAUUUGACCCCUGGUCAGUCUCAAGGCUGACUCUGUUGCUGUUAUUUCCGUGCGUAUGUCACUGUCCGCAGCAGACCAACCUCCAAGCCACCCAGCCCGUGCAGGCCCUGGGCACAGGGACUUCCUCUUCCCUUGAAGUGAUCUCGUAAGAGGCAGAUGGCAGGGAGAAGCAGAACCAUGGUCUCCUGGACUUGAUUGCCUAUUCUGAAUGGACGCCGUCUUAGGGUCUUUUGGAGAAAGGUCUUCGUUUUUUCCAGAGUUGGAAGCCUCCCCGGAAAGACUUCAUUGCAAAGUAGUAAGAGAGAGAGAGAGAGAGAGAGAGAGAGGCCUGUAUUCACUAGGGGCUACACGGUUCCUGGUGCCGAGCAUGCUUAGGGUUGGCCAGGACUGGAAAGGUAAAGGCCAGACACAGAGUCAGGGACAGGAAGGUACAAAAGUAGGCCUGAAGCCACUGCUACCCUCUGAGUACGAAAGGGGAAUGGAGAGCAGGCCAACAUAAAGUUCCCCCAAAGAUUACGUCCAACUUAAGAGGCUAGGUCUUGAUAUUAUAGACAAACCCUAGGCAUUUACACAACUCUCCAGCUGGACAACGUGCUCUCCUACCAUGUUUUUUUUGUUUUGCAUUUCAUCACCCUGAUCCUCCCGGGUGUCUUUAAAACAAACCUGAAUUCAAGCGGUAGCUCCACAUUUCCUGGCCUCACCAAGCUUCCCCUCAGGCCUCCCAGGCCCAGCCCAGUUGCUACGGAUCCAGGCUGCAGAUUUCCGACUUCAGUAUAGGGACGACGGCUAGGAGAGUGAGGGGACUUGGGGGGAUGGGACAGGGCGUGGGGGAGAGCUGUGCGAGUGUCUCUCCCGGUUGUUGAUUCGGAAACCCACAAAGUCCAGGAGAUGUGGGUCAAGUCCUGGCUCCUGGCCCUGGCAGGUUGGCAAACAUGGGGUGUCACUUGCCCUCUCCGGGCCUUUGUUUUCCCACCAGUUAAAUGGGGUUAAAUAAAAUGGGUUAAUGCCCUGUCUGCCUGCCUGCUGUGGUAAGGACUACACAAAUUUGAUGGAACUGGAAAUGAGUGGGCUUUUGCUUCCCUCUAGUGGGUGAAUGCGGCAUUGCAUGCACUGUCCUUGGAAUGCUUCAUAACCCGAUUGAAUGUUCAAUGAACAUUUUCACUGCUAAGUAGUAUUCCAUUGCGUGGCUAUUUGAGUUAUUACCACUUUGUUGAAGUUAGGAAUAAAGCUUCUAUAAACAUUUGCGUACAAGUAUUUGUGGAUAGGGGCGCCUGGGUGGCUCAGUCGGUUAAGCGUCCGACUUCAGCUCAGGUCAUGAUCUCACGGUCUGUGAGUUCGAGCCCCGUGUCAGGCUCUGUGCUGACAGCUCAGAGCCUGGAGCCUGUUUCAGAUUCUGUGUCUCCCUCUCUCUCUGCCCCUCCCCUGUUCACGCUCUGUCUCUCUCUGUCUCAAAAAUAAAUAAACGUUAAAAAAAAAAUUUUUUUUUAAAAUAUUUGUGGAUAUAUGCUUUCCUUUUUCUUGGUAUGUUGCAUAGGUGUAUGCACGGUUUUCAUGAAAUUUCCAAACUGUUUUCCAAAGUGGUUGUACCAUUUUGCAUUCCCACCAACAGUGUGUGAGAGGUCUUAUUAUUCUUCAUCCUCGUAAUCCUUUGGUAUCGUCUCAUCUUUAAAUUUUAGCCAUUUUAGUGAAUAUAUAGUGGUUGCUCAUUGCUUUUUUUGUUUGUUUUAGUUCCAUUAUAGUUCACAUACAGUGUUAUAUUCAUUUCAGGUGAACAAUAUAGUGAUUCCACAAUUCUAUACAUUACUCAGUGCUUGUCAUGGUAAGCAUACUCUUUUAACCCCUUUCACGUAUUUCAUCCGUCCCCUACCCCCCUCCCUCUGAUAACCAUCAGUUUGUUCUCUGUAGUUAAGAAUCUGGUUUGUCUCUUUUCUUUGUUUUGUUUCUUAAGUUUCACAUAUGAAUGAAAUUUGACUGGCUUAUUUCACUUAGCAGUAUACUCUUUAGAUCUAUCCAUGUUGCUGCAAAUGGCAGGAUUUCAUUUUUUCAUUUUUUCUUUUUUAAGUUUAUUUGAGAGAGAAAAGAGAGGGUGUGGGAGGGGCAGAGACAGAGAGGGAGAGAGAGAAUCUCAGGCUCUGCACUGUCAGCAAGGAACCUGAUGCGGGGCUCAAACUCACCAACCGUGACAUCAUGACCUGAGCCCAAAUCAAGAGUCAGACGCUUAACCUAUGGAGCUAUCCACAUGUCCCAGGAUUUCAUUUUUUCAAUUGUUUUAAAUUGGGUUUUAUAUGGGGCGCCUGGGUGGCUUAGUCGGCUAAGCGUCCGACUUCAGAUCAGGUCAUAAUCUCACAGUCCGUGAGUUCGAGUCCCUCGUCGGGCUCUGUGCUGACAGCUCAGAGCCUGGAGCCUGCUUCAGAUUCUGUGUCUCCCUCUCUGCCCCUCCUCUGCUCACGCUCUGUCUCUGUCUCUCCAAAAUAAAUAAAAGUGUGACAAAAAAUAAAUUGGGUUUUAUAAUCGCUAAUGAUGUGAAGCAUCUUUUCAUUGUGCUUACUCACCAUUUAUACACAUUUUUUUGUUAAGUGUUUAUUCAUUUUUUUUUUUUUGCCAGUGUAGUUGUUGGGAUGUUUAUCUUUUUAUUGUUGAGUUGUAAGACCUUUUACAAGUACGAGAUACGAGUCCUUUGUCCAUGUAUAUUUUGAAUACAUUUCACCCAGUAUGUGCCUGGCCUUUUCAUUUUUUUGUAACUGUCUUUGAAGAGUAGAAGUUUUAAACCUGGCUGUUUUUUUAAAUGUUUAUUUAUUUAUUUUGAGAGAGAGAUAGAGGGUUAGCAGUGGAGGGGCAGAGAGAGGGGGACAGAGAAUCCCAAGCAGGCUCCACACUGUUAGCACAGAGCCCGACGUAGGGCUCGAGCUCGGGGACGGUGAGAUCGUGACCUGAGCCGAAAUCAAAAGUCAGACACUCGACCGAGUGAGCCACCCAGGCACCCCACUACAUUUUUUUUCCUAACGUUUAUUUAUUUUUGAGAGAAAGAGCUCGAGCCAGAGCCAGGGAGGGGCAGAGAGAGAGGGGGACAGAGGAUCUGCGGUGGGUUCUGCACGCUGACAACAGCGAGACCCGUGACCCGAGCUGAAGUCAAACACUCAACUGACUGAGCCUCCCAGGCGCCCCAGAAGUUUUAAAUCUUGAAUGAACCAUUGACGUACGGAAUAACAUAAAGGAAUUUAAAAAUAACUGUUGAGAGAGAGAAGCCAGUUUUUGAAAAGUACACGCAGUCUGGCUCCAUUUCUAAACAAUUCUCAAAAGAUAAAAACUAACCUGAAAUAACAGCAGAUUAGAAGUCACAAAGGGGCGGGCGCCCGGGGGGGCCCGGCGGGCGCGGGGCUGGCUUCAGCUCUGGUCAUGAUCUUACAGUUCAUGAGCCUGAGCCCUCCUGACUCAAGCCCCGCGUAGGGCUCUGCCCUGACAGCUCAGAGCCUGGAGCCUGUUUUGGAUUCUCUGUCUCCCUCUCUCUCUCUCUCUCUGUCCCUCCCCUGCUUGCGCUCAAUCUCCCCCCCCCCCCAUCUCAAAAAUAAACAAACAUUAAAAAAAGAAGGAGUUACAAAGGGACACAAAGAAAGUUUGAAGAUGAUGAACGUGCUUGUUGCCUUGACCAUAGCGUUGGUUUCGUAGACGCGCACUGAUGUCAAAAUUCAUCAAAUUGUACGCCUCAAACGGUUUGAUUAUUGUCCAUCAAUAAAGCUGCACUUCUUGGGGGGUGGGGGGCAGGGCCGGCAGCGGAGAAGAGGAAGAAGCUGGAAGCCGAUGGUUAAGGUCCUAGAACACCAGAGAGGCUAGGGCGCUGGCCCGGGGAGCAGGUGGUGAAACCUGAUUCUGGCCACAACGUCAGUGAGGAAAGACCCGAGGUCUGGGGACCGGGGACGUUGAGGCAACGAGAUACUUAGGCUGGGACCGAGGGAGAGAAUGGCUGUGAGGAAGGCCUUUGGUUUCCGGUUUCGGGGCUGGGGGGUGGGGUGCAGGGGACAAGGUGACUGCCUUCCGCGAGACAGCCGGAGGGGGGCAGGCAGGAGCGCUUGAGAGGUUCCCGGGCAGGUGACGACAGUGAGGUGAGCGUUGGAUUCGCAUCCGAAAGGCUCGUGGGAUGGCCGAGCGGACGCGUUCGGGGUGAUCAGAUCGGAUGCACUUGGGGUGCUCAGAAAUAGGCCGCGGUGAGAUCCGCCGGCUCCCAGGGACCACCCAGAUGGUGGCCCGGAGGGAAAGGAAGAGGUUCGGCUGCGGACUCGGGAGGUGCGCGGGCGGGGAAGGCCUCCCUGGGGCAUGAUCGGACCUCACCUUCUGUCCCUCCGCCAGAAGCUUCGACGUGUGACGCCUCCCCCUCGGAGAGUCUCAAACCCCCAUUUCAGCUCUGGGCUGGACACGCCCACGUGGGUGCCCCCCUCCCUGCACAAGGGCCUCCUUGCCUGCUCCCGUGUCUCCCUCUGGCGUCUCCAGCCACGUCCCCGCAGGCCCAACCUGUCCCCUCCCUCUCUCUCUCUCUCCCUCUCUCUCUCUGAAUUAAAUAAACAUUAAAAAAAUAAACAAACAAACAAACAAACAAAUAAAUAAAGUUGUCCUGGUCUCCGAGCCUCCUGGAGCCCUGUGUUCUGGUCCCCCGCGCCCUCCCCGCCCCCCGCCCUGCCUCGGCACUGGCUGUGUGACCUGAUGCCAGGCUGUGGUUCACCCCGCCCCCCUGUCACGUCCUGCACUAGUCCUGCCCAUUCACUCCUAACAGAAACUCACACGCUACCGACAGUCAGUAGCUGGCAUCUGAAGCCUGGCAGCUUGCACACACCCAUUCACACUCUCUGCGCACGCUCGCCAGCCAACUGUGGCCCCCGGCCGGCGACGGAGCAGGCACAGGCCCCGGGCUCAGGGAGCCCGCGCCGUCAGCUCUGACUCGAGCCCAGGUACAAGCUGAGGUGCCCAGGGGUCAGGAAAAGGGCCUCAUGGGCCCGGUGGGAGGUAGGCCUCCUGGAGGAGAAAGCCUCUGAGUUAAGCCUGGAUGAAAUGUUGGGGCUCACGCAUGCGCAUGCGAGGACAGGAGGAAAAUCACCCCGAGGCAGGAGGCCGGAGGCUGGCUGGCUGUGGGGUCAUCCCCUCGACUCCAGACGGUCCUCUGGGCUGACCUGCUCCACACCCCCCUCCGCUGUGGGUCCUUCCAGCUCCCCACCCUCCCCCACCUCCACCUUCUCCUGAUUCCUUUGUCUCUCUUUCCGCUGCUUCGACACGUGUACUAUUUCUAAUCUUUUGUUAUCCCCUUGCAUUUGGAAGCAGGGCACUUAACAGCACCGCUAACGGCCCGGGCUCUGUACCCGCCCCCCCAACAGAAGAAUCCCAGCCACCCCUGCCUCUUGGCCACCUUGUUUUUCCGUCUCCCCACGUGCAUGCUAAUCGGCUGUCCCUUACGGGUAGGGAUUAUUAUUUCACCUGACCGACUCCUGUGCCAGUGUCUCUGGCUUUCUCGAAUCCUGUUCCGCCCUUCUGGGCCCAAGGCCCUCCUUCCUAACGCCCUUCUGGAAAUUCUUCCAGCAAGGGUUUCUGAGGGGUCGCUAUUCGGCGUCUACGUGAGAUAGAUCUAUUUGGCUCUCUCUUUUCAUUCCUGACUCUCUACCCCCCAACACAGUCUUUGCACUGCCCACGGCCCCCAGUCAGGCCCGACCAGGCUGCCCUCACCAGACACGCCCCAGCCCCUUCUGACUGUACUCUAGAUGAUUCUUUUAUUCCUUCUGGUCCUUUCCCGGAGGACCUUGCCUGAUCUGCCCGCUUCCUGACCUGAUCUUGCUCAUCUCAAACCCAGCGCUCUUUCCAAGUCUCCCCACAGGAAUCACCUAUCGGGAAAGAUUCUUGUCUACAGGCAAGCGUCAUCAGAUAAGCCAAAAGCAGAGAAGUGGGCCCGUUGUCGCACACCCGGGUCUGCUCUGGGUACACGUGCGGGUCUUCUGGGUUGGGUGAGACGCCGCACGGUGGACGUGCUGGGCGAAGAUUCCGCCGUAUUUUGGCUUUACUCUUUGAGGCAGGUGGCAUGUCUUAUUUUUUUUUUUUUAAGGUUUAUUUAUUUAUUUUGGGAGUGGGGGAGGGACAGAGAGAGAGGGAGACACAGAAUCCGAAGCAGGCUCCAGGCUCCGAGCCGUCAGCACAGAGCCCGACGUGGGGCUCGAACUCACAGACCGCGAGAUCAUGACCUGAGCGGAAGUGGGACACGUAACCGACUGAGCCACCCAGGCGCCCCAGGAGUGUGUUGUUUUUAAUUUCCACAGAUUUGUUUCCCAAAUUUCUUGUUAUGAUUGAUUUCUAAUUUCGUUCACCUGUGUUCAGAGAACAUACUUUGUAUUAUUUCUAUGCUUUUAAAUUUAUGGAGGCCAUUUUUUGCCUUAGCACGUGGUUUAUCUUGAACACCACUCCAUGUGUAUUUGAGAAGAAUGUAUAUUCUGCUUAGAUGGGUCUCUUUCGUUUUCAAGGACUUUUGUAAUUACAUUGGGCCCACCUGGAUAAUCUAGGAUACUCAAGGUUAGCUGAUUUUUUUUUUAAUUUUUUUUUUUUUAACGUUUAUUUUUGAGACAGAGAGAGACAGAGCAUGAACAGGGGAGGGGCAGAGAGAGAGGGAGACACAGAAUCUGAAACAGGCUCCAGGCUCUGAGCAGUCAGCACAGAGCCCGACGCGGUGCUCGAACUCACGGACCGUGAGAUCAUGACCUGAGCCGAAGUCAGACACUUAACCGGCCGAGCCACCCAGGCGCCCCUCAAGGUUAGCUGAUUAAUGAACUUAAUUCUCUCUGCAGCAUUAAUUUCCCCUUUUUCAUGUAAUAUUCACAGGGUUUGAGGACUAGGAUACGGACAUUAGGAGGGGGAGAGGGUGGGGUCAUUAUGCUGCUUAACACAACAGGCGAGAACCACGAGCAGCUUCCUUUUUGGGUAUCGUGUUUGCCGAAACCAAAAACAAAAACCCACGUAACCAUUUCGGGGAAUGGCAAUAGUAAGGACGCAAAGUAACUUUUGCCUUGAAGUUAUUCUCAUGUUUUUGCAGACAUUGGAGUGUCUCCUUUAAUUCUCAGUAUUCAGACUUAGGACAAAGCACAAGUCAAAUCGUUUCUAAAAUUAAAAUUUGAUUACUGUCGCACAAGAGCCAUUAUUGUUUCACAGCAGCUUUUCUGUUUCGUGACCUAGAUAUAAAAUAAGUAGAAAGAACACAAGCGACAGGUUCUUCAUAUGGGAAAAUGUCAAGAAUGAAAGCACGAGUCAUUGGCAAGAAGCUCCUGCGACCUCACGGCGGGUUGAACGACAAAUAUUUUCCCCUGAAGUCUUUGGAUCCCUGUUAGCUAAGCUUAAAGUUUCUAUUUUAUUGGAGGGACAGAUACCCCUAUAGGCAAAAGCCAGAAGAAGGACUUUCCGAAGCACACAUACGUAAUAUCAACAUUUAUUAUGUAUAUGUGUGUAUGUAUACGUGUAUACAUAUGUAAAUAUAUAAUUUUCUGUUUAUAAAAGCACCUCACGCCCAUAAAAACUUCAAAGAUCACAUCACAGAAAUAUUAUGUUGAGCUGUAUAAAAUUUCCAAUAUUUCACUAUUUUUUGUUCUUUUUUUUUAUGUUUUUAUUUAUUUUUGAGAGAGAAAGAGAGAGCAGGGGAGGGGCAGAGAGAGGGAGACAGAUGAUCCGAAGUGGGCUCUGUGCUGAGAGCGGAGAGCCCCUUGUGGGGCUCAGACUCACCAACCUUGAGAUCAUGGCCUGAGCCAAAGUUGGACGCUUAACCAGCUGUGCUACCCAGACGCCCCACCUUCGCUAUUUUUUUGACCUACACGAUCAGCGAUUUCAUACUGCUCAACAUAAUAAUAUAGCAAGGAGAAUUCCCUGUAAUCUCCGUGCCCUGGAGGGAACCUCUGGCAUUUGGUGUGUAUCUUUCCAGGCUGGAGAGUAUGUCUGUGCAUGUUCACGGUUGGCGGGGUUAUUACCACAAUGCCAUAACAUGAAUAACAUCGCAACCUGCUUUCUAAACACUUUGUAGAGCAAAGCAAAUCCUAGGGCCGCUGCUGUUGCUUCCCUUCUCUGGUGCCUCCGUUUCCUUAUCUGCGAAAAUGGAACUAAUGGUUCUGUGCCGGGUGUUUAUUGCUUCUGGGCUCCAAAUUCAUCAUGUUUGUCCGCUCUGUGGAAAUGGGUCUGGGCCCUUUAUUUUCCUUUGCCAGAUGGAACAAUGCUGAGUUUUGCCACCAGAGGGCGCCAGCAGCCGUUUCUUGAGGAAGAGGCUUUACUUCCUGGUGGUGAUGCGCCAGGGCUAACUUCUCCAGCUCAGCUCCUGCCACGGGGACAGCUUUUCCAGCAGCCGGCUCCUUCAGCAGAGGCAGCCAGAACCGCUGCUUCCCCUAGCACCCCACUCCCACCCUGGGAGUAGUGGAGGGCCUCUUCCCCAGCACCCUAAAGGAUGGCUUUCCAGUAAGUUCCAUGGGGCCUGUGCUGUGCUUCAGCAACUUCACUUAUCCAAUGAGCCACGGCCCGGCCAUUCCGUCUCCAACGAGGUCUGGAUCUCAGACCUGGGGCUGGAUGGGAGCCCUUCUGGCUAGGGGAGGAAGUGCUCUGUCUCAGCCCUGGGGAUGAGGGCUGCUCCUUACAUCUGCUAGUCUGGUCGUGUUUAGAGUUCCUUUUACUUUUUAAAAGAGUUUUAAUGUUUAUUUACUUUUGACACAGAGAGAGGCAGAGCAUGAGCAGGGGAGGGGCAGAGAGAGAGAGGGAGACACAGAAUCCGAAGCAGGCUCCAGGCUCUGAGCUUUCGCACAGAACCCGAUGCGGGGCUCGAACUCACAGACUGAGAGAUCAUGAUCUGAGCCGAAGUCGGAUGCUCAACCGACUGAGCCACCCAGGCGCCCGAGUUCCCUUUACUUCUUACUAGCCGAUCCCUUGUUACUCCAAUCCCCUGUUCUAGUUAAUAAUUCUUUAUAUUAAACUUUCCCUGUUCAAAUUACUUUGUGGUUUCCCUCAGCCUGAACCCGAUCGCACGUAUUGUUAUGAGGAUUGGAAGGAGGGAGAGGGCUGAGCUCAGUGUGUAACACGCAGGGAGGACUCAGAAAACAGCGGUUACGUCAUCAUCAUCGUCGUCCCUGUCAUUGUCAUUAUCGCGUCUCCACUUCAAUACCUACAGAGUAGCCUCUGCCUUAUUGGCCAUGGCCAUGGUUCCGUAGUACGGAUGGAGUGUGGAAUCCCUCAACUCCUGAUGGACAUUGGGAUUAUUCCACUCUUCCGUUAUUACGAACAGCCCUAUGAUCCACAGAAGAGCUGUCCGCCCCUGAACACUCAGCCUACAUAUGCUUUGCACCGAAGCAAUUACAUAUAGUGACUCCACUUCUCACAACGCGCUAUUCUAUUCGCUUCCAAAACUUGAGUGGCUUAAAACAACACACAUUUAUUACCUUACAGUUCUGGAUGUCAGGAAUCCGAAAUGAAGGUGUUGGCAGGGCCGUGUCCCUUCUGAGGGCUGCCGGGGAGACUCUGUCUCUCCCAGCUUCUAGAGGCUGCCUGCAUUCUGUGGCUGAUGGCUACCCACUCCCCCCACCUUGGCUCCACCCUCUUGUCCCCACCCCCACCCAGGCACACCUCCUACUACUCACUG
This 12384-nucleotide long non-coding RNA is filed under the name Lynx pardinus (Iberian lynx). Lineage: Eukaryota; Metazoa; Chordata; Mammalia; Carnivora; Felidae. The record is from RNAcentral.